AAAGGGUGUGUAGGAGGUCGGGUAAGUCAGGUGUGAAAUCUCACAGCUUAACUGUGAAACUGCGCUUGAUACUGCUCGGCUAGAGGAUCGGAGGGGGUAUCGGAAUUUAUGGUGUAGCAGUGAAAUGCGUAGAUAUCAUAAGGAACACCGGUGGCGAAGGCGGAUACCUGGAAGAUUCCUGACUCUGAAACACGAAAGCCAGGGGAGCAAACGGGAUUAGAUACCCGGGU
This 230-nucleotide ribosomal RNA is filed under the name uncultured bacterium. Its description in RNAcentral is "partial 16S ribosomal RNA". It matches the Rfam family "Bacterial small subunit ribosomal RNA", at positions 562 to 791 of the family's 1533-position model. The record is from RNAcentral.